Molecule: non-coding RNA, 87 nt
Organism: Pseudomonas sp. VI4.1
Lineage: Bacteria; Pseudomonadati; Pseudomonadota; Gammaproteobacteria; Pseudomonadales; Pseudomonadaceae
Source: Rfam
UCGUAAGUCGGUGCACGGCACUCAGCCUGCAGCGGCGAGCUUCGUUCGUCCCAUAUGGAUGUGACGAGGUUUCACCAGAAAAAGGAA